This 74-nucleotide transfer RNA is filed under the name Diplacanthopoma brachysoma. RNAcentral describes it as "tRNA-Lys". It matches the Rfam family "tRNA". From Rfam's summary of the family: Transfer RNA (tRNA) molecules are approximately 80 nucleotides in length. Their secondary structure includes four short double-helical elements and three loops (D, anti-codon, and T loops). The record is from RNAcentral. Lineage: Eukaryota; Metazoa; Chordata; Actinopteri; Ophidiiformes; Bythitidae.
CGCUAAGAAGCUAAACAGGGAACAGCGUUAGCCUUUUAAGCUAAAGAUUGGCGGCACCCAACCGCCCUUAGCGA